CGAAAGAUGUGUGAUUUGCCCUUCGGGGUGUAACCUAUCACAGUGCUGCAUGGCUGUCGUCAGCUCGUGUCGUGAGAUGCGGUUAAGUCCCAUAACGAGCGAAACCCUUGUCCUUAGUUUGCUAGCGGGUAAAGCCGAGGACUCUAAGGAGACUGCCGGUGUUAAACCGUGAGGAAGGUGGGGACGACGUCAAGUCAUCAUGGCCUUUAUGUCCAGGGCUACAAACGUGCUACAAUGGCCGGCAUAAAGGGAGGCAAAACCGUGAGGUGGAGCAAAUCUCAAAAAUCCGGCCCCAGUUCGGAUUGGAGGCUGCCAAUUCGCCUCCAUGAAGUUGGAAUCGCUAGUAAUCGCGUGUCAGCUACAACGCGGUCGAAUACGUUCCCGGGCCUU
This 390-nucleotide ribosomal RNA is filed under the name uncultured Planctomycetota bacterium. RNAcentral's name for it is "bacterial SSU rRNA". It matches the Rfam family "Bacterial small subunit ribosomal RNA", at positions 1002 to 1382 of the family's 1533-position model. Lineage: Bacteria; Pseudomonadati; Planctomycetota. The record is from RNAcentral.